This 494-nucleotide ribosomal RNA is filed under the name uncultured bacterium. Its description in RNAcentral is "partial 16S ribosomal RNA". It matches the Rfam family "Bacterial small subunit ribosomal RNA", at positions 28 to 504 of the family's 1533-position model. The record is from RNAcentral.
GAUGAACGCUGGCGGCGUGCCUAAUACAUGCAAGUCGAGCGAACGGACGAGAAGCUUGCUUCUCUGAUGUUAGCGGCGGACGGGUGAGUAACACGUGGAUAACCUACCUAUAAGACUGGGAUAACUUCGGGAACCCGGAGCUAAUACCGGAUAAUAUUUUGAACCGCAUGGUUCAAAAGUGAAAGACGGUCUUGCUGUCACUAAUAGAUGGAUCCGCGCUGCAUUAGCUAGUUGGUAAGGUAACGGCUUACCAAGGCAACGAUGCAUAGCCGACCUGAGAGGGUGAUCGGCCACACUGGAACUGAGACACGGUCCAGACUCCUACGGGAGGCAGCAGUAGGGAAUCUUCCGCAAUGGGCGAAAGCCUGACGGAGCAACGCCGCGUGAGUGAUGAAGGUCUUCGGAUCGUAAAACUCUGUUAUUAGGGAAGAACAUAUGUGUAAGUAACUGUGCACAUCUUGACGGUACCUAAUCAGAAAGCCACGGCUAACUAC